Non-coding RNA from Cinara cedri, 595 nucleotides. The record is from the annotation of a GenBank genome assembly. Lineage: Eukaryota; Metazoa; Arthropoda; Insecta; Hemiptera; Aphididae.
GUUAACAACAUAUUAAUAUAUGAAUUACACUCUCAUGGUACUAGUUUAUUGGCAGUAAUCAAAUUUAAAAGUUAAUUUAUUUCAAUUAUAUCUGAUGAUUCAGCAUUUAAUAUUGAAGAGUCAGGUUACAUAAUAUUAAAACACUCAAAAUAAUAAUAAAAUAAAAUACUCCUAAUAAUUAACAAUAUGAAAUAUUAUGUUUUACAUUAUACACUAAAAAUAAUUGUGUACUUUGAUUAUCGACCCUUUUGUUUGAUUAUAGUACUUACUAGAGAACAGCCCAUCUUAUAAAAAUGAAAUCGGACCAGACCAAAUAUUUUAGACAGCUUGUUUAACUAGAUUAGACCCAAUUCCUAAAAUAAAUUUUUCAACCCACACCAAUUUAAACCAAGCUCACAAAUUUUUUCAAAGCCCGGAUCAGCCCAGUUCGGAUUAUGUAUUUAAAAAAAAAAAAACGACCAGGAUAAAUAUAGUGAUUUAGAAUCCUAACUAGAUUGUCAACAUAAAACAAAUUAAUUAGAAACCAAAUAAAAAUAUGUUAUUUAAUUGACUAAUCAUCAAAUUAAGUAUUAAUCUGUAUUAUAUUUUUUAUUAU